Molecule: long non-coding RNA, 380 nt
Organism: Lolium rigidum
Lineage: Eukaryota; Viridiplantae; Streptophyta; Magnoliopsida; Poales; Poaceae
Exons: 3
Source: RefSeq, a predicted model, not a curated record
GGGGGCACUGCACAGCCGACUAUUUACCUUGGAAUGGUGCUGAUGCACAAGGUGAAUUUUGAUGCGAGAUAGAAUAUGACAUGAUCCACGACUACAAGGUUCUCUAGGACGUGUUUCAAAGCUGGAGAUAAGCAAGGCGAUCAAGAUAUAGAACCCAUGGCUGUCUCAGACUCCCGUGUGCUUCUCACUUGAGCAGAAGCUGUAUCUAAGAAAAAUAUUCAUGUAGUGUUCAAGGGAAGUUGUUUCAUUGCUAAAUAGUGAAAGAAGUUCAGAUUUAUCUCUUUCAAUAUUUGCGGAGAGGCUAAAUAACAAUUUGUAUUUCAUUUUAGUGGAAUGAUAAGUGGUUGGUACAUUUUCUUAGCAACCAAUAUAUGGAACAG